UUGAGAGAGCUGGUUUGUUUAGUGAAUUCAGUGAGCAAGAGCUGGUCUGACCCGUACUUUUAAAGGUGUAAACAUAUAAUAUAGCAUCCAAAUCAGUUUCAUUCAGUUUAUUUCUAUAGCACCAAAUCACAAAUCACAGUCGUUAGCUUCUGAUAUCAGACAAGAUCAGCUGAGCGUGCCGAACAUUGGUAUGGAGGAAAUAAAAAAUGCAAACCUGGAGUCAAAAAUUCACUGUGGUUCGUGGAAUUUUAAUUAUCUGUUUUCCUUUAACAAACCCUCAUCUGACGGUUAGCAAAACCAGUUUUAUCUGCUCUCUGGAACAAACCCAAGAUCAGUCCUAGUUCAGCCAUAACUCAAUGACCAGUCGACAUACAAUAAAACAAAAAUGUAAUUGUCUUUUCGAACAUACACCAGUUAGUGCACAAUGGUCCGCGGCCGGCGUCCGAGGAGCUGAUGGGAUACUCACGCCCACGGGCGUGGCUGUUAACUCUACACCUGCAUCUCAUCCCAGGCGAUUAUCAGGUGGACUAUUUGAUCCCGCUCAGCCUGCUGCUCCACGCCAGUCCGUAGUCGUCUCACAGCGAUAACAGCUUGGCGUGUUUUUUGAGCCACCUGCCUGUCCACCUGCCCGCCUGGAGUUUUUGAUCACCUUCAGUAUCCCUCACUUCGCCUUUCCUAGAGCUCCCCGCGGACCUUCACCCCUCCCUCCGGCUCUCACGGCCCCGCUUUGACUCCUCCCUCAGUCCCGUUUUCGGCGUUCCUUCGUGGCUCGUCUCCCGGUGACUUGGUUUCUCUAUUUUCACGUGUGUUUUCCUUAACCCUCCCGGGACACCUUUAGUUAGAAUAAAGUUUAUUUUCUCGCA
Oreochromis aureus is the source of this 863-nucleotide long non-coding RNA. RefSeq lists it as uncharacterized. NCBI's taxonomy places the organism in Eukaryota, Metazoa, Chordata, Actinopteri, Cichliformes, Cichlidae. The record is from RefSeq and is a predicted model, not a curated record. The transcript is spliced from 3 exons.